Molecule: long non-coding RNA, 108 nt
Organism: Sander lucioperca (pikeperch)
Lineage: Eukaryota; Metazoa; Chordata; Actinopteri; Perciformes; Percidae
Exons: 2
Source: RefSeq, a predicted model, not a curated record
AGUGUCCUCCUUCAAAGCUACAUUGCACAGAAACAUUCAGUGUUUUCACAAUUGCAGUAUAUGGAGAAAAUGAAAGUGGACGUUGUCUUUAAGUACCCCACUGUGACA